GAUGAACGCUAGCUACAGGCUUAACACAUGCAAGUCGAGGGGAAACGAUAUUGGAAGCUUGCUUCUGAUAGGCGUCGACCGGCGCACGGGUGAGUAACGCGUAUCCAACCUGCCCAUCACUUGGGGAUAACCUUGCGAAAGUAAGACUAAUACCCAAUGACGUCUCUAGAAGACAUCUGAAAGAGAUUAAAGAUUUAUCGGUGAUGGAUGGGGAUGCGUCUGAUUAGCUUGUUGGCGGGGUAACGGCCCACCAAGGCGACGAUCAGUAGGGGUUCUGAGAGGAAGGUCCCCCCACAUUGGAACUGAGACACGGUCCAAACUCCUACGGGAGGCAGCAGCGAGGAAUAUUGGUCAAUGGACGAGAGUCUGAACCAGCCAAGUAGCGUGCAGGAUGACGGCCCUAUGGGUUGUAAACUGCUUUUAUAAGGGAAUAAAGUGAGUCUCGUGAGACUUUUUGCAUGUACCUUAUGAAUAAGGACCGGCUAAUUCCGUGCCAGCAG
RNAcentral lists this ribosomal RNA (500 nucleotides) under uncultured bacterium. Its description in RNAcentral is "bacterial SSU rRNA". It matches the Rfam family "Bacterial small subunit ribosomal RNA", at positions 28 to 514 of the family's 1533-position model. The record is from RNAcentral.